AUAAGGUAGAGAAAAUAAUGUCU
This 23-nucleotide microRNA is filed under the name Drosophila ananassae. RNAcentral's name for it is "Dan-Mir-962_5p (mature (guide))". The record is from RNAcentral. Lineage: Eukaryota; Metazoa; Arthropoda; Insecta; Diptera; Drosophilidae.